Molecule: ribosomal RNA, 425 nt
Filed under: uncultured bacterium
Lineage: Bacteria
Description: partial 16S ribosomal RNA
Rfam family: Bacterial small subunit ribosomal RNA
Source: RNAcentral
GUGGGGAAUAUUGGACAAUGGGCGCAAGCCUGAUCCAGCCAUGCCGCGUGAGUGAUGAAGGCCUUAGGGUUGUAAAGCUCUUUCACCGGUGAAGAUAAUGACGGUAACCGGAGAAGAAGCCCCGGCUAACUUCGUGCCAGCAGCCGCGGUAAUACGAAGGGGGCUAGCGUUGUUCGGAAUUACUGGGCGUAAAGCGCACGUAGGCUGAUAUUUAAGUCAGGGGUGAAAUCCCGGGGCUCAACCCCGGAACUGCCUUUGAUACUGGGUAUCUUGAGUAUGGAAGAGGUCAGUGGAAUUGCAAGUGUAGAGGUGAAAUUCGUAGAUAUUCGCAGGAACACCAGUGGCGAAGGCGGCUGACUGGUCCAUUACUGACGCUGAAGUGCGAAAGCGUGGGGAGCAAACAGGAUUAGAAACCCGAGUAGUCC